AGAGUUUGAUCCUGGCUCAGGAUGAACGCUGGCGGCGUGCCUAACACAUGCAAGUCGAGCGGUAUAUAUUGGAAUGAAACUUCGGUCGAGUGAAGAUAUAGAGAGCGGCGGACGGGUGAGUAACGCGUAGGCAACCUGCCCCAUACAGAGGGAUAGCCUCGGGAAACCGGGAUUAAAACCUCAUAAUGCGAGAGGUUCACAUGGACUUUUCGCCAAAGAUUUAUCGGUAUGAGAUGGGCCUGCGUCUGAUUAGCUAGUUGGUGGGGUAACGGCCUACCAAGGCAACGAUCAGUAGCCGACCUGAGAGGGUAAUCGGCCACAUUGGAACUGAGACACGGUCCAAACUCCUACGGGAGGCAGCAGUGGGGAAUAUUGCACAAUGGGCGAAAGCCUGAUGCAGCAACGCCGCGUGAGCGAUGAAGGCCUUUGGGUCGUAAAGCUCUGUCCUAGGGGAAGAAAAAAAUGACGGUACCCUUGGAGGAAGCCCCGGCUAACUACGUGC
This 502-nucleotide ribosomal RNA is filed under the name uncultured bacterium. Its description in RNAcentral is "bacterial SSU rRNA". It matches the Rfam family "Bacterial small subunit ribosomal RNA", at positions 8 to 508 of the family's 1533-position model. The record is from RNAcentral.